AUGCCUCAAAUGAGUAUUCAGCCGGUG
This 27-nucleotide non-coding RNA is filed under the name Mus musculus (house mouse). The record is from RNAcentral. Lineage: Eukaryota; Metazoa; Chordata; Mammalia; Rodentia; Muridae.